This 465-nucleotide ribosomal RNA is filed under the name uncultured bacterium. RNAcentral's name for it is "partial 16S ribosomal RNA". It matches the Rfam family "Bacterial small subunit ribosomal RNA", at positions 338 to 795 of the family's 1533-position model. The record is from RNAcentral.
CCUACGGGAGGCAGCAGUAGGGAAUCUUCCACAAUGGGCGAAAGCCUGAUGGAGCAACGCCGCGUGGGUGAAGAAGGUCUUCGGAUCGUAAAACCCUGUUGUUAGAGAAGAAAGUGCGUGAGAGUAACUGUUCACGUUUCGACGGUAUCUAACCAGACAGCCACGGCUAACUACGUGCCAGCAGCCGCGGUAAUACGUAGGUGGCAAGCGUUAUCCGGAUUUAUUGGGCGUAAAGGGAACGCAGGCGGUCUUUUAAGUCUGAUGUGAAAGCCUUCGGCUUAACCGGAGUAGUGCAUUGGAAACCGGGAGACUUGAGUGCAGAAGAGGAGAGUGGAACUCCAUGUGUAGCGGUGAAAUGCGUAGAUAUAUGGAAGAACACCAGUGGCGAAAGCGGCUCUCUGGGCUGUAACUGACGCUGAGGUUCGAAAGCGUGGGUAGCAAACAGGAUUAGAUACCCCGGUAGUC